Molecule: ribosomal RNA, 497 nt
Filed under: uncultured bacterium
Lineage: Bacteria
Description: partial 16S ribosomal RNA
Rfam family: Bacterial small subunit ribosomal RNA
Source: RNAcentral
GAUGAACGCUGGCGGCGUGCCUAAUACAUGCAAGUCGAGCGAACAGACGAGGAGCUUUCUCCUCUGACUUUAGCGGCGGACGGGUGAGUAACACGUGGAUAACCUACCUAUAAGACUGGGAUAACUUCGUGAAACCUGAGCUAAUACCGGAUAAUAUAUUGAACCGCAUGGUUCAAUAGUGAAAUACGGUUUUGCUGUCACUUAUAGAUGGAUCCGCGCCGCAUUAUCUAGUUGGUAAGGUAACGGCUUACCAAGGCAACGAUGCGUAGCCGACCUGAGAGGGUGAUAGGACACACUGGAACUGAGACACGGUCAAGACUCCUACGGGAGGCAGCAGUAGGGAAUAUUGAGAAAUGGGCGAAAGCCUGACGGAGCAACGCCGAGUGAGUGAUGAAGGUAUUCGGAGCGUAAAAAUAUGUUAUUAGGGAAGAAAAAAUGUGUAAGUAACUAUGAACGUAUUGACGGUACCUAAUCAGAAAGCAACGGCUAACUACGUG